CUCCCAUAUGGUCGACCUGCAGGCGGCCGCGAAUUCACUAGUGAUUCGUAUUACCGCGGCUGCUGGCACAGAGUUAGCCGGUGCUUAUUCUGUCGGUAACUCAAAACAGCAAAGUAUUAAUUUACUGCCCUUCCUCCCAACUUAAAGUGCUUUACAAUCCGAAGACCUUCUUCACACACGCGGCAUGGCUGGAUCAGGCUUUCGCCCAUUGUCCAAUAUUCCCCACUGCUGCCUCCCGUAGGAGUCUGGACCGUGUCUCAGUUCCAGUGUGACUGAUCAUCCUCUCAGACCAGUUACGGAUCGUCGCCUUGGUGAGCCAUUACCCCACCAACUAGCUAAUCCGACCUAGGCUCAUCUGAUAGCGCAAGGCCCGAAGGUCCCCUGCUUUCUCCCGUAGGACGUAUGCGGUAUUAGCGUCCGUUUCCGAACGUUAU
Molecule: ribosomal RNA, 434 nt
Filed under: uncultured Gammaproteobacteria bacterium
Lineage: Bacteria; Pseudomonadati; Pseudomonadota; Gammaproteobacteria
Description: partial 16S ribosomal RNA
Source: RNAcentral